CAAUUGAUGGAAAUAGUAUARUUAUURAAUUUAGUGUUUAGGUAUGAAAGUAUAGAAAUUGAWAAGGAUUAGUGACCCUUGUAAACUAUACUGUAAAAUAUAAGUAUCCACAAUGUUAUUUGUAAAGCUAACGCGUAAAUACUUUACCUGGGUAGUACAACCGCAAGGUUUAAACUUAAAAAAAUUGGCGGGACCUAAUUUAAUGGUGGAGCAUGUGAUUUAAUUCGGUAAUCCUCGCACAACCUUACUAACAUUCUAUUAAUUCAUUUAACUAUUUCGUAUAUACGUUAAUUUAAUUAAUUUGAGUACUGCAUGGCUGUCGUCAGUUCGAAUUGUAAAACGUAAAAUUAAGUUUUAAUAGCGAACGCAACCCUAAAUUAUUAAUUUAAUUGUUUUUAAUAUAAUAACAUUUAUAUUAUAUUAGGAUGAGGGCAAGUCUUUACGAUCUUUAAAUGUUAGGCUAUACAUUUGU
This 472-nucleotide ribosomal RNA is filed under the name Chilodonella uncinata. RNAcentral's name for it is "SSU rRNA". It matches the Rfam family "Bacterial small subunit ribosomal RNA", at positions 708 to 1225 of the family's 1533-position model. Lineage: Eukaryota; Ciliophora; Phyllopharyngea; Chlamydodontida; Chilodonellidae. The record is from RNAcentral.